GCCGGGUGUGGUGGCGCACACCUGUAAUCCCAGCUAUUUGGGAGGCUGAGGUGGGAGAAUCACUUGAACCAGGGAGGCGGAGGUUGCAGUGAGCCAAGAUCACACUACUGCACUCCAGCCUGGGCAACAGAGUGAGACUCCAUCUCAA
Molecule: non-coding RNA, 148 nt
Filed under: Homo sapiens (human)
Lineage: Eukaryota; Metazoa; Chordata; Mammalia; Primates; Hominidae
Source: Rfam by way of RNAcentral